Molecule: unclassified non-coding RNA, 169 nt
Filed under: uncultured fungus
Lineage: Eukaryota; Fungi
Description: sequence contains ITS1
Source: RNAcentral
CCGUUUGGUAAGGGGGGGGGGGCCGACGCUGGUGGAGAGGGGACACCGCCUCCUCCCGAAGGAGGUACCAGUGUUCAGACCCGGCUCAUGGGGGUGUAGAGCGCGAGCCCUCUCCGGAUCAAAAUCACAAAUGCUGAUAUUGAUCCUGCUGCAGGUUCACCUACAGCAA